This 87-nucleotide transfer RNA is filed under the name Saccharospirillum salsuginis. RNAcentral's name for it is "tRNA-Leu". It matches the Rfam family "tRNA". From Rfam's summary of the family: Transfer RNA (tRNA) molecules are approximately 80 nucleotides in length. Their secondary structure includes four short double-helical elements and three loops (D, anti-codon, and T loops). Further hydrogen bonds mediate the characteristic L-shaped molecular structure. tRNAs have two regions of fundamental functional importance: the anti-codon, which is responsible for specific mRNA codon recognition, and the 3' end, to which the tRNAs corresponding amino acid is attached (by aminoacyl-tRNA synthetases). tRNAs cope with the degeneracy of the genetic code in two manners: having more than one tRNA (with a specific anti-codon) for a particular amino acid; and 'wobble' base-pairing, i.e. permitting non-standard base-pairing at the 3rd anti-codon position. Lineage: Bacteria; Pseudomonadati; Pseudomonadota; Gammaproteobacteria; Oceanospirillales; Saccharospirillaceae. The record is from RNAcentral.
GCCAGAGUGGCGAAAUUGGUAGACGCAGGGGAUUCAAAAUCCCCCGGUGGCGACACCGUGCCGGUUCGAGUCCGGCCUCUGGUACCA